UUAAUUAGAUAAGAAUCUUAAAAUCAAACAAGACUAUUCUUUAAAUUAACAACUUAUUAAUACUUGCUAAUAAUUUGGGAAAAAUCAUAAUUCUAACUAACAUCUAAAGAAAAUCAGAUUCUGAUCUAUUCAUCAUCAUAUAGCAUAUUAGUAUCUAUUAAAUGGUUCGGGAAAAGUCAAAUCCUGUGCGAUCAUAUUUUAAAUUAGAUAUUGUAAAAAAUCAAUCUACUUGUAAACUAGAAAACUGUGGUAAAGUUUUAACCGGGGACCA
Molecule: long non-coding RNA, 271 nt
Organism: Gordionus sp. m RMFG-2023
Lineage: Eukaryota; Metazoa; Nematomorpha; Gordioida; Chordodea; Parachordodidae
Exons: 3
Source: RefSeq, a predicted model, not a curated record